This 133-nucleotide ribosomal RNA is filed under the name uncultured Cortinariaceae. RNAcentral's name for it is "partial 28S ribosomal RNA". It matches the Rfam family "Eukaryotic large subunit ribosomal RNA", at positions 1 to 132 of the family's 3401-position model. The record is from RNAcentral. Lineage: Eukaryota; Fungi; Basidiomycota; Agaricomycetes; Agaricales; Cortinariaceae.
GUGACCUCAAAUCAGGUAGGACUACCCGCUGAACUUAAGCAUAUCAAUAAGCGGAGGAAAAGAAACUAACAAGGAUUCCCCUAGUAACUGCGAGUGAAGCGGGAAAAGCUCAAAUUUAAAAUCUGUCAGUCUU